Molecule: non-coding RNA, 1438 nt
Organism: Doryrhamphus excisus (bluestripe pipefish)
Lineage: Eukaryota; Metazoa; Chordata; Actinopteri; Syngnathiformes; Syngnathidae
Source: RefSeq, a predicted model, not a curated record
GGCUAACGGAAACCUGUGAAAGCUGCAGGGUAGUUGGCUAUCACACUGUUAUGCAAUGGGGGGGGGGGAGCCUGUUUCUUGAGUUGGAAAGGCUACAUGGAUCCAAAUACGGAAAACUAUCAGGAUCGAAACCCUGCGAGAGAAAAUCCCCGGGACAUCUAUACUGUAACAAAUCAAAGCAGGCAGCGAGGGGAGGAGGACAUGAGUUGAGUUACAAAAAGAAGGGCCAAUAAAGCUGAAGAGGGCUGAACUGAGUAAGGAGGUGGUACUGCACCCCUGGUUCCUUAGCAACUGCCUCCUGGUGAACUGGAGGCUGGUGCAGCAGGCUAAGCAGGGAAGUCCAGAAUUCCCUCUCCCUGGCUACUUCGACCAGCUCCUCUCAGGGGAUCCCGAGGCAUUCCAAGGCCAGACAUAGUCUCUCCAACGUGGACUCCUACCGGUUAGAAGUUUCUUGCACACCUCACCAAGUAGGCACCCGGGAGGAAUCCUGACCUGAGCCACCUCAUCUGGCUCCUCUCACUGCGGAGGAGCAGCGGUUGUAGUCUGUUUCUCCUUGAUGACAGUGCUUCUCACCUUAUCUUUAAGGGAGAGCCAAGCCACCCUCUGAGAAAAGCUAAUUUGGUCCACUGGUAUGCACAAUCUUGUCCUUUCGGUCAAUAUGCAAAGCUCAUGACCAUAAAUGAGGUUAGGAACGUACAUACCAGUAAAUUGAGACCUUUGCUUAUGCCUCAGCUUCCUCUUCACCAUAACAGACCAAUGCAAAGUUCGCAUUCCUGCAGACGCCAGGGCAGCAGCACACCAUCAGCACCAUACACGGUGUUGACAGUGUACUGCUUGCCCCCCCUGACUUUGGAGCCGAGCUUGACCUGGCGGUACCCCUCAGCUCUCUCCAGAGUCCCAAAAAGCUCUGAUAGGACUCCUUCUUCAGCUUGACGGCAUUCCUCAUCGCCGAUGUCUGCCAAUGGGCUCUGGGAUUGCAGCCAUGACAGUCACCAACCACCUUACAGCCACAGCUCCCAUCAGCCGCCUCGUCAUCGGAGGCCCGGAACACGACCCAGGUAGUGGACUUGUGUGCUUGUCACAGAUUGUCGACAACACACACCAUGUUCAAGCCAAAUGGUUGUCUACAUGUGCUACUACGUACUAUAUACAGAUUGUUGCAUGGACAACUCAUAAGCAGUUGUACUUAUACUGAGAGUAUUGAACAAUAAAAAGCAAGACAUUUGCACACUUUCUUCCAACUCACUACAUAGUCAGCAGCAAUGGUGGGGGACGAUGCAGGAUUGCAGGGAUCCUCCACCUGCAUCACUAUCAGAGCUACUACGAGAGGAAGUGAAUUAUCUAUCCGUUCAUUUUCUAUGCUGCUUAUCAAGGAGUGAGCUAUUUGUUUUUGUUUUUAUUUAUAUGACUGGUCAACUUUGAAAUGGUACUUUAUUUA